Molecule: long non-coding RNA, 574 nt
Filed under: Homo sapiens (human)
Lineage: Eukaryota; Metazoa; Chordata; Mammalia; Primates; Hominidae
Description: HSALNT0257892
Source: RNAcentral
AAUUGAACUUUUGUCACUGACAUGUUGUGUGCUGGGCUUCUCUGCCUAGCUUCCUAUGUGCUCUACAGGUGCAUAUCUGUCCCAUCCCUCAGUUUUAUUUAUGCAGAAUCUGCUGCAUCUCUGGAAGAUUUGUGAGCUGACUGCAAACACACCAAGAGUAAGGGGAGCAGAUGUUUUCUCUCAGCCCCGAAUCCCACUCAGAGUGCACACAAGCCAUGGCACAGAGCAGGGGCCCAGAGCCUGCUUGCUAGAAGGAUCCUCUUUCUCCUUCCCCAGAGACUGCACAGAAAGCACCCCGGCCCCUUCUGGGGAUGUGUGCCAUACUCAUGGUGCAGCUCUGCAGCCUCCUCCUGAAAGCACUUCCUCCAGAGGGAUCCUGUGCUGAUGAAACAGACUUGUGAAUAUGGCUCCUGAUCCACAGGAUGCAACCUGAACCACAGAAAAUGCUGAGUUCUCCAGAGGCUGUCUUCGUGCCCUGCCUGUUUCCCUUAAGUGUUCAAUGUGUGCUGAUGGCUUCCUGCUGUGAGGGCCUGAGACUGUCCCUGGAGAGCUUCCUAAGAAACAUCAGGGUUCU